GACGAACGCUGGCGGCGUGCUUAACACAUGCAAGUCGAACGGAAAGGCCCUGCUUUUGUGGGGUGCUCGAGUGGCGAACGUGUGAGUAACACGUGAGUAACCUGCCCUUGACUUUGGGAUAACUUCAGGAAACUGGGGCUAAUACCGGAUAGGAGCUCCUGCUGCAUGGUGGGGUUUGGAAAGUUUCGGCGGUUGGGGAUGGACUCGCGGCUUAUCAGCUUGUUGGUGGGGUUGUGGCUUACCAAGGCUUUGACGGGUAGCCGGCCUGAGAGGGUGACCGGCCAAAUUGGGACUGAGAUACGGCCAAGCCCCCUACGGGAGGCAGCAGGGGGGAAUAUUGCACAAUGGGCGGAAGCCUGAUGCAGAAACGCCGCGUGCGGGAUGACGGCAUUCGGGUUGUAACCCGCUUUCGCCUGUGACGAAGCGUGAGUGACGGUAAUGGGUAAAGAAGCACCGGCUAACUACGUG
RNAcentral lists this ribosomal RNA (468 nucleotides) under uncultured bacterium. RNAcentral describes it as "partial 16S ribosomal RNA". It matches the Rfam family "Bacterial small subunit ribosomal RNA", at positions 28 to 507 of the family's 1533-position model. The record is from RNAcentral.